AUUGAACGCUUUCUUCCUUCCUUACACAUGCAAGUCGAACGUCAGCACGGGUGCUUGCACCUGGUGGCGAGUGGCGAACGGGUGAGUAAUACAUCGGAACAUGUCCUGUAGUGGGGGAUAGCCCGGCGAAAGCCGGAUUAAUACCGCAUACGAUCUACGGAUGAAAGCGGGGGACCUUCGGGCCUCGCGCUAUAGGGUUGGCCGAUGGCUGAUUAGCUAGUUGGUGGGGUAAAGGCCUACCAAGGCGACGAUCAGUAGCUGGUCUGAGAGGACGACAAGCCACACUGGGACUGAGACACGGCCCAGACUCCUACGGGAGGCAGCAGUGGGGAAUUUUGGACAAUGGGCGAAAGCCUGAUCCAGCAAUGCCGCGUGUGUGAAGAAGGCCUUCGGGUUGUAAAGCACGUGGGUACGGAAAGAAAUCCUUGGCUCUAAUACAGGCGGGGGAUGACGGUACCGGAAGAAUAAGCACAGGCUAACUACGGG
Molecule: ribosomal RNA, 486 nt
Filed under: uncultured bacterium
Lineage: Bacteria
Description: partial 16S ribosomal RNA
Rfam family: Bacterial small subunit ribosomal RNA
Source: RNAcentral